UGGGGAAUUUUGGACAAUGGGCGAAAGCCUGAUCCAGCAAUGCCGCGUGUGUGAAGAAGGCCUUCGGGUUGUAAAGCACUUUUGUCCGGAAAGAAAUCCUUGGCUCUAAUACAGUCGGGGGAUGACGGUACCGGAAGAAUAAGCACCGGCUAACUACGUGCCAGCAGCCGCGGUAAUACGUAGGGUGCAAGCGUUAAUCGGAAUUACUGGGCGUAAAGCGUGCGCAGGCGGUUUGCUAAGACCGAUGUGAAAUCCCCGGGCUCAACCUGGGAACUGCAUUGGUGACUGGCAGGCUAGAGUAUGGCAGAGGGGGGUAGAAUUCCACGUGUAGCAGUGAAAUGCGUAGAGAUGUGGAGGAAUACCGAUGGCGAAGGCAGCCCCCUGGGCCAAUACUGACGCUCAUGCACGAAAGCGUGGGGAGCAAACAGGAUUAGAUACCCUGGUAGUCCACGCCCUAAACGAUGUCAACUAGUUGUUGGGGAUUCAUUUCCUUAGUAACGUAGCUAACGCGUGAAGUUGACCGCCCGGGGAGUACGGUCGCAAGAUUAAAACUCAAAGGAAUUG
Molecule: ribosomal RNA, 564 nt
Filed under: uncultured bacterium
Lineage: Bacteria
Description: partial 16S ribosomal RNA
Rfam family: Bacterial small subunit ribosomal RNA
Source: RNAcentral